RNAcentral lists this ribosomal RNA (117 nucleotides) under Ignavibacteriaceae bacterium. The record is from RNAcentral. Lineage: Bacteria; Pseudomonadati; Ignavibacteriota; Ignavibacteria; Ignavibacteriales; Ignavibacteriaceae.
UUUGGUGAUUAUAGCCAAGGUGAAACACCUCUUCCCAUUCCGAACAGAGAAGUUAAGACCUUGUACGCCGAUGGUACUGCAUGCGCAGGUGUGUGGAAGAGUAGGUAGUUGCCAAAA